GACGAACGCUGGCGGCGUGCUUAACACAUGCAAGUCGAACGGGUCUGCCCUGUUUUUUGCGGGGUGGGUCAGUGGCGAACGGGUGAGUAACACGUGAGUAACCUGCCCCUCACUUCUGGAUAACCGCUUGAAAGGGUGGCUAAUACGGGGUGUUCUGGCUGUGCCGCAUGGUGUGGCUGGGAAAGAUUCACUUUUGUGGUGUUUUGGUGGGGGAUGGGCUCGCGGCCUAUCAGCUUGUUGGUGGGGUGAUGGCCUGCCAAGGCUUUGACGGGUAGCCGGCCUGGGAGGGUGGGCGGUCACACUGGGACUGAGAUACGGCCCAGACUCCUGCGGGAGGCAGCAGUGGGGGGUAUUGCACAAUGGGCGGAAGCCUGAUGCAGCGACGUCGCGUGAGGGAUGGAGGCCUGCGGGUUGUGAACCUCUUUCGCCGGUGAAGAAGGUCCUGCUCUUUGUGGUGGGGUUGACGGUAGCCGGGUUAUGAAGCGCCGGCUAACUACGUG
Molecule: ribosomal RNA, 500 nt
Filed under: uncultured bacterium
Lineage: Bacteria
Description: partial 16S ribosomal RNA
Rfam family: Bacterial small subunit ribosomal RNA
Source: RNAcentral